Molecule: unclassified non-coding RNA, 430 nt
Filed under: fungal sp.
Lineage: Eukaryota; Fungi
Description: partial internal transcribed spacer region
Rfam family: Eukaryotic small subunit ribosomal RNA (bases 1-46)
Source: RNAcentral
AAGUCGUAACAAGGUUUCCGUAGGUGAACCUGCGGAAGGAUCAUUACCACAAACAACAUUAUUAUUAUAAUUUGAGAACGGUUUGUUUGGAUUAUUUUUGAACUUGUCUGAGUUUGGUUUGUAGAUUUGAGGGAAUACAAUAAAACUAUAUGACCUUGUAUAGAUAUUGUAUUUUUUCUUAAAACUAGGGUGGAUUACAAAUAUCGCUUUGACAACCAACAAAAUAAUCUAACAUUCCCAACACGAUCUUGUGUUUUUGACAUUGUUAUUACAUACGAAAACACAUCAUAAUUCGCCUUUAUUGUCUGUGUCUACGACCUUGUAGACCGAUAGAAGGUGUUAUUCAUUUUUUAAUUAUUCAUACAUUUUUUAAUUAAAAUGUAUAAAAAUAAACUCUGUACAACUCUUAGCAACGGAUGUCUUGGUUCCC